AGCAGCCGCGGUAAUUCCAGCUCCAAUAGCGUAUAUUAAAGUUGUUGCAGUUAAAAAGCUCGUAGUUGAAUUUCGGGGUCAGUAGGUCGGUCGUGCCACUGGUAUGAACUGGUUUUACUGAUUCCUCCCUCUUGAAGAACUGUAAUGCCAUUAAUUUGGUGUUGCAGGGAAUCAGGACUGUUACUUUGAAAAAAUUAGAGUGUUUAAAGCAGGCUUUAGCUUGAAUACAUUAGCAUGGAAUAAUGAAAUAGGACGUUUGAUCCUAUUUUGUUGGUUUCUAGGAUUGACGUAAUGAUUAAUAGGGAUAGUUGGGGGCAUUAGUAUUCAAUUGUCAGAGGUGAAAUUCUUGGAUUUAUUGAAGACUAACUUCUGCGAAAGCAUUUGCCAAGGAUGUUUUCAUUAAUCAAGAACGAAAGUUAGGGGAUCGAAGACGAUCAGAUACCGUCGUAGUCUUAACCAUAAACUAUGCCGACUAGGGAUCGGACGAUGUUAAUUUUUUAAUGACUCG
Molecule: ribosomal RNA, 508 nt
Filed under: Glomus sp. Glo3
Lineage: Eukaryota; Fungi; Glomeromycota; Glomeromycetes; Glomerales; Glomeraceae
Description: SSU rRNA
Rfam family: Eukaryotic small subunit ribosomal RNA
Source: RNAcentral